This 515-nucleotide ribosomal RNA is filed under the name uncultured bacterium. RNAcentral's name for it is "bacterial SSU rRNA". It matches the Rfam family "Bacterial small subunit ribosomal RNA", at positions 28 to 526 of the family's 1533-position model. The record is from RNAcentral.
GAUGAACGCUGGCGGCGUGCCUAAUACAUGCAAGUCGAGCGAACAGAUGAGAAGCUUGCUUCUCUGAUGUUAGCGGCGGACGGGUGAGUAACACGUGGGCAAUCUGCCCGAUACUCUGGGAUAACGCUUGGAAACGAGUGCUAAUACCGGAUGGUCUUCUUGGCCGCAUGGCCGAGAAGGAAAAGACGCGUUCGCGUCGGUGUCGGAUGAGCCCGCGGCGCAUUAGCUAGUUGGUGAGGUAACGGCCCACCAAGGCGACGAUGCGUAGCCGACCUGAGAGGGUGACCGGCCACACUGGGACUGAGACACGGCCCAGACUCCUACGGGAGGCAGCAGUAGGGAAUCUUCCACAAUGGGCGAAAGCCUGAUGGAGCAACGCCGCGUGAGUGAUGAAGGCCUUCGGGUUGUAAAACUCUGUCAUUCGGGACGAACCGGAGUCUGAGGAAAUGCAGACUCUCUGACGGUACCGGAGGAGGAAGCCCCGGCUAACUACGUGCCAGCCGCCGCAGUAAUAC